This 84-nucleotide long non-coding RNA is filed under the name Canis lupus familiaris (dog). RNAcentral's name for it is "lncRNA (ENSCAFG00000058614.1, ENSCAFG00845015994.1)". Lineage: Eukaryota; Metazoa; Chordata; Mammalia; Carnivora; Canidae. The record is from RNAcentral.
GCAGUGACAGGACCAUCCUUUCUGCCGAAGCUUCUGCUCACUGCUCCAAGUUCCGCCAUUAAGUAAGUAUUGUUCCAAAGCCCU